GGUCGGGCCUCGUGGGCAGGUGUCUCGUGAACCUGGUCAGGGCUUGAUCGCAGCAGCCAUAAGCGUCGUCAUUUGCGCCGUGGGUGUCCUGGCCGCC
RNAcentral lists this signal recognition particle RNA (97 nucleotides) under Phycisphaerae bacterium. RNAcentral describes it as "signal recognition particle sRNA small type". It matches the Rfam family "Bacterial small signal recognition particle RNA". Rfam says of the family: The signal recognition particle (SRP) is a universally conserved ribonucleoprotein involved in the co-translational targeting of proteins to membranes. Archaeal SRP consists of a 7S RNA and homologues of the eukaryotic SRP19 and SRP54 proteins. In most bacteria, the SRP consists of a 4.5S RNA and the Ffh protein (a homologue of the eukaryotic SRP54 protein). Lineage: Bacteria; Pseudomonadati; Planctomycetota; Phycisphaerae. The record is from RNAcentral.